Non-coding RNA from Rattus norvegicus (Norway rat), 2256 nucleotides. Lineage: Eukaryota; Metazoa; Chordata; Mammalia; Rodentia; Muridae. The record is from RefSeq and is a predicted model, not a curated record.
AAGAGGAGAAGGAGCUGGAUUGAACAGGAGCUGGGAGAACAUGGCGGCAGAUGUUAAGAUUCUCCUCUGCUCAUAGAUACGGGUUGUUAUGAAUAUUUUUAAGGGGUGGGUGUGUACAGGAUUUUGUGCUGUCUAGUUGGGCAAAUUAUGUCUUAUCAAUUGGAUCAGAGGUUAUUGUGUGGUGUGUUCUUUCGUGUGGUGACUUAAUUGAGUUCAAGAGAAGGUUCGGUGGCCAGACGCACCAAGCCCACCACGGAGUUGGGAUGCGCAUGCCUGGCAUGGUAACAACCCCCACAAGGGAACUGUGGUGAAAGCGGUGUGGCAAGGUGCCACGCUAGAAUGGCUCAUGGACCACCCGGGUCAGAGAGUACUUAGGGAUAUUAUGGAGCGGCUGAGAUAAAGAUACCCCACAAUGCCAUGUGUCCCCAUGGGUGCCAGCGCUAGUGUAGGAUAAAGGUUCAGGUAUCAUACCCCACAGUGCCAUAUGGCCCCACAGGUGCUGGCAGUAGCCUGGGGAUAAAAGGUUUAGCAGGUUUUUUAAACAUUUACUACAACAGUUCCCAGUGUCUGUCCUGUAUGAAAAUAGAAGGGAACUUAGAAUAAAUCAGAUAUCGCGCACGCCUCUCCAGCAGACUUUGAAGACUUUGAAGUUGAGUAGCUGGAGAACCACAGACACUGGUGAGAGGAGAGUGUGAAUACACAUUUACUUCACUGUUCCUCUCUCCCAAGUAGCUCAAGGUACCUCCGAGGAGGACAAUGAACUCUGUACUCCUGAGGAUGUGAGAGACACCUCAUCCAAGACCUCUCUCUCGAUGGUCAUGGUCACAUAGAAAGGAGAACAAACUCAGGUGAAGCUGACGCCUACCAUUUAGUUCUUUCAUCUGUUAAGUGAAAAAUAAUAGGAUUUCCACAGGGACCAAUCACAAGCUAACAUAAUCACAAGCUAAGAGCCUCCGAGGAAAGAUUUUCUCUAUUAAGAUUUGCAGUCAGAGCUAGCAGGGUGGCUCGGCAGGUAAGGAUGUUUGCUGCCAAGCCUGACAAUUCAAAUUCGAUUCCCAGAUGGUAGAAAGACAGAGCUGACUCCACAAGUUGUCCUCUGACCUUUCCGUGUACGCUACGGCAUGUGCAUGUGUGAAUAAAUAAACUUUAAAAGUUUGAAGUGAAAAAGAAAGAUUGAGCUUCAUUGAUUUUUUUUGUGAUCCAGAUGUAAUUCGUGUCCAAACUUCAGAAGAGGAUAAACAAGAAAAUGUAAAAGCCAGCCAUAAUCGUGCCAUGUGGAGAAAACCACCUCAGUCAAGGUGUGGGUGAUCUGAAACCAGAAUGAAAAGAGGUAGGACUCAAAGCUGCCGUCGGUUGGAGGAGGCACACAUGCACUCCUGUCUUCUGUGUGCCGUGCCUAUCUCGCGCCUGUGCUAAUCCUGAAGACACGUCAGCCGAUCCUGAACAGCACUCCGACACACGGGCUUCAAGCUUGACUACAUCCUGGAGGCACCAAGAGCAUCAUUUUUGUUUGGUACGGUGUCUCGUUAGGUAGGCCUGGCUAACCUAGAACUCACUAUGUAGACCUGACUGGCCUUGAACUCAGAGACUCACUUGCCUCUGCCUUCCGAGUACUGCGAUUGAAGAUGUGCAUCUUCGGAGUACAUAUUUGAAGUUAACUUUUUCACCUGCUUUUCCUGCCUUGGACUCUUAAAAAAAGGAACUCAAUUCUUCUUCCCUUGGGAAAAAAAAAAAGGAAAAUUGCCAAAAUAUCUGAGAGGCUGAACAAAGUUACAGCUACAUCACUGCUCUGGAGUUGCCUGUGACUGAAGCCUCAUUCAGAUGAUCAAAUUGUCGAUGCUCGCUUGGGAGAGGACUGAGACCCAGUGUUACAUAAGCCGCCUUCUCGGAACAGCCCAGAAUACAAAGGCGUGCGUAUGCCUGUGUGAACAUGUGUCCACACAUGUGUGGAGGUGUCUGGGAAGCCAGAAGAGAGCACCUGAUGACUUGGAACUGGAUUCUCAAGCAGAUAAUUCAAACCAAAGGAAAACCAGGAAACUUUGCCGAUCUUCUUCGGGGGAAACUUCUGAAAUGUUUGCCAUCAUCGGGACAAUUGUUCGGGAUGUCAAUAGAGUUUCUUAAUUAGGUGACAGACCUGAGUGUUCUAAAGAGACACGUGUCAAGAGAUUCGGUUUUCCCAGGUUACCCCUGAGAAACACCAAACCUGGUUAAAAAUAAAACGCUUUCCCCUACUCUGGGGAACACUGGAAAAAUUAA